This 497-nucleotide ribosomal RNA is filed under the name uncultured bacterium. RNAcentral's name for it is "partial 16S ribosomal RNA". It matches the Rfam family "Bacterial small subunit ribosomal RNA", at positions 28 to 506 of the family's 1533-position model. The record is from RNAcentral.
GACGAACGCUGGCGGCGUGCCUAAUACAUGCAAGUCGAACGAGAGCGACCGGUGCUUGCACUGGUCAAUCUAGUGGCGAACGGGUGAGUAACACGUGGGUAACCUGCCCAUCAGAGGGGGAUAACAUUCGGAAACGGAUGCUAAAACCGCAUAGGUCUUCGAACCGCAUGGUUUGAAGAGGAAAAGAGGCGCAAGCUUCUGCUGAUGGAUGGACCCGCGGUGCAUUAGCUAGUUGGUGAGGUAACGGCUCACCAAGGCCGUGAUGCAUAGCCGACCUGAGAGGGUGAUCGGCCACAUUGGGACUGAGACACGGCCCAAACGCCUACGGGAGGCAGCAGUAGGGAAUCUUCCGCAAUGGACGCAAGUCUGACGGAGCAACGCCGCGUGAGUGAAGAAGGUUUUCGGAUCGUAAAACUCUGUUGUUAGAGAAGAAUAAGUGCUAGAGUAACUGUUAGCGCCUUGACGGUAUCUAACCAGAAAGCCACGGCUAACUACGU